AGAAUCAACGCUGGCGGCGUGCCUAACACAUGCAAGUCGAACGAGAAAGUGGAGCAAUCCAUGAGUAAAGUGGCGCACGGGUGAGUAACACGUGACUAACCUACCCUUGAGUGGGGAAUAAACCUCGGGAAACCGGGGCUAAUACCGCAUAACACCUACGGGUCAAAGGAGCAAUUCGCUUAAGGAGGGGGUCGCGGCAGAUUAGUUAGUUGGCGGGGUAAUGGCCCACCAAGACGGUGAUCUGUAUCC
This 249-nucleotide ribosomal RNA is filed under the name uncultured bacterium. Its description in RNAcentral is "partial small subunit ribosomal RNA". It matches the Rfam family "Bacterial small subunit ribosomal RNA", at positions 26 to 288 of the family's 1533-position model. The record is from RNAcentral.